GUCCGAUCCAUGUGAAAACAUCAGGGCAGAUAGAUCUUGACCUGAUAAACAAUUAAACCCUGUCAGAUUUUCUCUUAAUGCUUCGAUUUUUGAGUUAUUAGCCAAAAACUGCAUUUUACCCCUAUGUUCUAUUAUUAGCCGUGGCAGCCAUUUUGGUUGAUUGGCCAGGUCAUGCCACACAUUUUUUAAACAAAUUACCCCAAUGAUGAUUGUGGCAAAGCUUAGUUUAAUUUGGCCCAGUAGUUUCAGAGAAGAAGAUUUUUGUAAAAGAUUACUAAGAUUUACGAAAAAAUGGUUAAAAAUUGAUAAUAAAGGGCAAUAACUC
Molecule: long non-coding RNA, 325 nt
Filed under: Mytilus galloprovincialis (Mediterranean mussel)
Lineage: Eukaryota; Metazoa; Mollusca; Bivalvia; Mytilida; Mytilidae
Source: RNAcentral